GCGGUCGUGGCCGAGUGGUUAAGGCGUCUGACUCGAAAUCAGAUUCCCUCUGGGAGCGUAGGUUCGAGUCUUACCGGCCGCG
Molecule: transfer RNA, 82 nt
Filed under: Pollicipes pollicipes
Lineage: Eukaryota; Metazoa; Arthropoda; Thecostraca; Pollicipedomorpha; Pollicipedidae
Description: tRNA-Ser
Rfam family: tRNA
About the family: Transfer RNA (tRNA) molecules are approximately 80 nucleotides in length.
Source: RNAcentral